CAGUGGAGGGAAAGAUGCAGAGGACGAACCGACCUCUCAGGCGCCCCCACCGCGCCCGCAGUUGCCUGUGGGCGCACUAGGUAUCUCUCGAGUUCCGCGCAUUUCGGACGCUAUAAAUACGGAUGCCUUGGCAUUUGUAGGUCUUUCUGGAUACGCUCUCGCUGGGAAGAGGGUUCGGCUGCUCUCACUGGGAGUUCUAGAUGUCUGGCUUAGAGCUCUCGCUGAGAAUUCCACACGGCUGGCUUACAGGGGAGACAUCUUCACUUGCUUCCAUUCCUUUAUCUGGCAGGUGACACGGUGAAUCAACUGAAGAUGUGUCGAGAUAGAGCUCACUAGUACAGGCCCUGCCUUGCUCUCCUGCUGUCAGAAACAGAGCAGGACUCUAGCAGGUGCCUCCUGAGGGGGGAGGAUAACUGGGAACUUAGGUGUCUAUCAGGGGCUGGGGAGGUGCAUCACCCAAUUACUGCACAGGACCCUGUUCCUGCCUGCGGGGUGGUUUCAUUUCAACCAACUUCUAACUGUAUAAAUAAUAAAUAAACAGAUCUGUGUUUCUGUGAUUGCCAAGCCCAAAUAAAGAUUGAAUUUUU
Molecule: long non-coding RNA, 587 nt
Organism: Erinaceus europaeus (western European hedgehog)
Lineage: Eukaryota; Metazoa; Chordata; Mammalia; Eulipotyphla; Erinaceidae
Exons: 4
Source: RefSeq, a predicted model, not a curated record